This 433-nucleotide ribosomal RNA is filed under the name uncultured bacterium. RNAcentral describes it as "partial 16S ribosomal RNA". It matches the Rfam family "Bacterial small subunit ribosomal RNA", at positions 29 to 507 of the family's 1533-position model. The record is from RNAcentral.
AACGAACGCUGGCGGCAUGCCUAACACAUGCAAGUCGAACGAGACCUUCGGGUCUAGUGGCGCACGGGUGCGUAACGCGUGGGAACCUUCCCUUAGGUUCGGAAUAACUCCCCGAAAGGGGUGCUAAUACCGGAUAAUGUCUUCGGACCAAAGAUUUAUCGCCUUUGGAUGGGCCCGCGUUGGAUUAGCUAGUUGGUAGGGUAAAAGCCUACCAAGGCGACGAUCCAUAGCUGGUCUGAGAGGAUGAUCAGCCACACUGGGACUGAGACACGGCCCAGACUCCUACGGGAGGCAGCAGUGGGGAAUAUUGGACAAUGGGCGAAAGCCUGAUCCAGCAAUGCCGCGUGAGUGAUGAAGGCCUUAGGGUUGUAAAGCUCUUUUAACCGGGAUGAUAAUGACAGUACCGGGAGAAUAAGCCCCGGCUAACUCCGUG